Long non-coding RNA from Biomphalaria glabrata, 589 nucleotides. RefSeq lists it as uncharacterized. Lineage: Eukaryota; Metazoa; Mollusca; Gastropoda; Planorbidae. The record is from RefSeq and is a predicted model, not a curated record. The transcript has 2 exons.
ACAAGUAGAAUGUGAUUUUUAAUUUCAUAUCUCUGUUAUACAAAAAGUAACGAAAAUUUACAUAUUAAGCUGUAUUGACAAAUUACUGUUAUUUGGUAAACGUUCCAUUUGUUUAAUAUUAACUUUUUUAACGCCAGAUAACAUGAGACUGAUGUUGAGUUUGUUUCUUACUGCUAUCGUCUUCAUAGAGAGGACACACGGCAUAGUGUGCACAGCCAACAUCUGCGACCUAGUGGAUUGUAUACAUCAUACACCAGAGAACUGCCCCGGGAAAUUCGUGAAGAAUGGCGGCUAUUGUGGCUGCUGUGACGCCUGUUUGGCUAUUUUAAAACCUGGUGAUACCUGCUACAGUUUAUUUUUAGCUGGAUCCCCUAACACGACUAUCUGCCCUGACAACUACCACUGUGAUACAAAUACCUUUAAGUGUACAGCGAAUUAAAUGAAAAGUACGUUCAUGGUUUUUCUGGUUGGCCUCAAGUUUAAUGCAUCACGUGAUGAUACAUGCUGUUAUUAACUUAGGUCUAUUGUAUAUGAUUUUUUUCGAUUACAUGUAAUUACAAAUAUUUUAAAUAAAAUUAUUAAAGAAAAA